Molecule: ribosomal RNA, 546 nt
Filed under: uncultured bacterium
Lineage: Bacteria
Description: partial 16S ribosomal RNA
Rfam family: Bacterial small subunit ribosomal RNA
Source: RNAcentral
UGGGGAAUAUUGCACAAUGGGCGCAAGCCUGAUGCAGCCAUGCCGCGUGUGUGAAGAAGGCCUUCGGGUUGUAAAGCACUUUCAGCGAGGAGGAAGGUGGUGAGCUUAAUACGCUCAUCAAUUGACGUUACUCGCAGAAGAAGCACCGGCUAACUCCGUGCCAGCAGCCGCGGUAAUACGGAGGGUGCAAGCGUUAAUCGGAAUUACUGGGCGUAAAAGCGCACGCAGGCGGUUUGUUAAGUCAGAUGUGAAAUCCCCGGGCUCAACCUGGGAACUGCAUUUGAAACUGGCAAGCUAGAGUCUCGUAGAGGGGGGUAGAAUUCCAGGUGUAGCGGUGAAAUGCGUAGAGAUCUGGAGGAAUACCGGUGGCGAAGGCGGCCCCCUGGACGAAGACUGACGCUCAGGUGCGAAAGCGUGGGGAGCAAAACAGGAUUAGAUACCCUGGUAGUCCACGCUGUAAAACGAUGUCGAUUUUGGAGGUUGUGCCCUUGAGGCGUGGCUUCCGGAGCUAACGCGUUAAAUCGACCGCCUGGGGAGUACGGCCGC